RNAcentral lists this ribosomal RNA (253 nucleotides) under uncultured bacterium. Its description in RNAcentral is "partial 16S ribosomal RNA". It matches the Rfam family "Bacterial small subunit ribosomal RNA", at positions 524 to 776 of the family's 1533-position model. The record is from RNAcentral.
UACGUAGGGGGCGAGCGUUGUCCGGAAUCACUGGGCGUAAAGGGCGUCUAGGCGGCUUAGUAAGCGGAAUGUGAAAGCCCAGGGCUCAACCCUGGAAAGCCGUUCCGAACUACUAGGCUUGAGUUCGGGAGAGGGCAGUGGAAUUCCCGGUGUAGCGGUGAAAUGUUUAGAUAUCGGGAGGAACACCAGUGGCGAAGGCGGCUGCCUGGACCGAUACUGACGCUGAAGCGCGAAAGCCAGGGUAGCGAACGGG